Molecule: ribosomal RNA, 254 nt
Filed under: uncultured bacterium
Lineage: Bacteria
Description: partial 16S ribosomal RNA
Rfam family: Bacterial small subunit ribosomal RNA
Source: RNAcentral
UACGAAGGGGGCUAGCGUUGCUCGGAAUCACUGGGCGUAAAGCGCACGUAGGCGGAUUGUUAAGUCAGGGGUGAAAUCCUGGAGCUCAACUCCAGAACUGCCUUUGAUACUGGGAGACUUCGAGUCCGGGAGAGGUGAGUGGAACUGCGAGUGUAGAGGUGAAAUUCGUAGAUAUUCGCAAGAACACCAGUGGCGAAGGCGGCUCACUGGCCCGAUACUGACGCUGAGGUGCGAAAGCGUGGGGAGCAAACAGG